RNAcentral lists this ribosomal RNA (442 nucleotides) under uncultured bacterium. RNAcentral's name for it is "partial 16S ribosomal RNA". It matches the Rfam family "Bacterial small subunit ribosomal RNA", at positions 338 to 795 of the family's 1533-position model. The record is from RNAcentral.
CCUACGGGGGGCUGCAGUGGGGGAUAUUGGACAAUGGGGGGAACCCUGAUCCAGCGACGCCGCGUGAGUGAAGAAGUAUCUCGGUAUGUAAAGCUCUAUCAGCAGGGAAGAAGAAAUGACGGUACCUGAGUAAGAAGCCCCGGCUAACUACGUGCCAGCAGCCGCGGUAAUACGUAGGGGGCAAGCGUUAUCCGGAAUUACUGGGUGUAAAGGGAGCGUAGACGGUGAUGUAAGUCUGGAGUGAAAGGCGGGGGCCCAACCCCCGGACUGCUCUGGAAACUAUGUGACUGGAGUGCAGGAGAGGUGGGCGGAAUGCGUGGUGUAGCGGUGAAAUGCUUAGAUAUUAGGAGGAACCCCGGUGGCGAAGGCGGCUCGCUAGGCUGUGACUGACGUUGAGGCACGAAAGCGUGGGGAGCAAACAGGAUUAGAUACCCGGGUAGUC